CCUAACACAUGCAAGUCGAGCGGUAUUUCUUCUUCGGAAGAGAGAGAGCGGCGUACGGGUGCGUAACACGUGUGCAACCUACCUUUAUCUGGGGGAUAGCCUUUCGAAAGGAAGAUUAAUACCCCAUAAUAUAAUGAUUGGCAUCAAUUAUUAUUGAAAACUCCGGUGGAUAGAGAUGGGCACGCGCAAGAUUAGAUAGUUGGUGAGGUAACGGCUCACCAAGUCUGUGAUCUUUAGGGGUCCUGAGAGGGAGAUCCCCCACACUGGUACUGAGACACGGACCAGACUCCUACGGGAGGCAGCAGUGAGGAAUAUUGGACAAUGGGUGAGAGCCUGAUCCAGCCAUCCCGCGUGAAGGAUGACGGUCCUAUGGAUUGUAAACUUCUUUUGUACAGGGAUAACCUACUCUCGUGAGGGUAGCUGAAGGUACUGUACGAAUAAGCACCGGCUAACUCCGUGCCAGCAGCCGCGGUAAUACGGAGGGUGCAAGCGUUAUCCGGAUUUAUUGGGUUUAAAGGGUCCGUAGGCGGACCCGUAAGUCAGUGGUGAAAUCUCAUAGCUUAACUAUGAAACUGCCAUUGAUACUGCGGGUCUUGAGUAAAUUUGAAGUGGCUGGAAUAAGUAGUGUAGCGGUGAAAUGCAUAGAUAUUACUUAGAACACCAAUUGCGAAGGCAGGUCACUAAGAUUUAACUGACGCUGAUGGACGAAAGCGUGGGUAGCGAACAGGAUUAGAUACCCUGGUAGUCCACGCCGUAAACGAUGCUAACUCGUUUUUGGAUUUUCGGAUUCAGAGACCAAGCGAAAGUGAUAAGUUAGCCACCUGGGGAGUACGUCCGCAAGGAUGAAACUCAAAGGAAUUGACGG
This 865-nucleotide ribosomal RNA is filed under the name uncultured bacterium. RNAcentral describes it as "bacterial SSU rRNA". It matches the Rfam family "Bacterial small subunit ribosomal RNA", at positions 47 to 916 of the family's 1533-position model. The record is from RNAcentral.